AUUUUUGGGGGAAUUUUACAUAAGAGUAUCAGAGUGGAUUUGAAUCACUACAUUUUUACUCUUGCUCUUUCUUUAUGUGAGAGAUGAUUCCCAAAUAAACAAAAAAUAAAUAGGUAUGGAAGCUAUAGUUGUAAACCGCGAUCGAAUAUAUAGAAGCAUCAAAAGAUUAACAGGAGGGACCGACUUCAAAUAGUUGCAAAAAUGCAAGAACAAACGGAUGUUAGGUGGAGGUUUGUAGACAACCUAAAAGAUGUGUCCAACAAAAACAUGGCAACAAAGAUGCUAAACACCAUAAAAUUUUCACAGGACCCCAUGUGUAAGCAGCCGCAGUAGAAGGCUAUAAAUAAUAUUGCAAAUAUGAAUGCAGAGAAUUUAUGAUUACCUGAUGUAGAAUCGUUGCAAAUUGGCACAUAAGCACUUGCAUUCUCUUACUAACAGCUGCUUCCCUACUGGCUGCAUCCUAUUUCCUCCUUUUUGAGCUGGGAAACAGCUACUAGCUAUCUUUGUCCUUUAGAACUGAGCUACCUUUUGGAGUGCUCAGCUUCUUUUUAUUUGCAGAAGUGUAAAAUUGCUCAACCUCAUUCAAGUUUUGCUCUAGCUGCAUAUAAAAAUAGAUUAUAAUUCCAUUAUUACAUGUACAGUCGUCAAAAUUACUCCAGGGAUCAGAAUACCAUUUCCCGUUUGGUGAAUGCAGUAGUUGGUAUCAAUCAUUAGUAUAAUAAAUGAACUCUAAAAUAAUAAAGGAAUCUUGAGUAAACAACACAAAAGAAUCAGAUUAUCUCUUCAUCCUCAUUGCAAAUUUGCAAUACUUUUAAGAUAAAAUAUCAAAAUCCAGCAAUACCCAAGGUGAUACCGGGCUCAGUUUCCACCAAAGUCGACACCACCACUAUUGAGACACACCCAAAUCUCUCUUUUCUUCUUUCCACCUACGGUUGCUAUUCAUACCCACAAAGGAUCGGCCAAGAUGAGAUCAAUAUAGUCCAAGAGAAAACCACACAGGUUGCUUGAGAGAAAGAGGCAGAGAGUUAGCAGAGAAAAACUCACAAAGAGAAGUAAAGAAGACCACUCUUUUGGAGGCGUGAAGGGAGCCAAGAAUUAUAGCCCAAAGGUGUGACCAUUGUUGGUUGAAAUCGCAAGUGCACAAGUCGUAACAAGUAAUAAAGUGAAUGAGUAAGAGUAUCAUCCCACGAGGAAUGAUACUCUAGAGUUUUCGAUUCACCAUAAAUACUCAUAUGUGAAUAUCCUAAUCGAAUUAAUUGUGAGUGUUCCUAAUUGUUGAUAAUCAAGUCUUUCUAAUUUAUUCAUUAAUUGUUCUCAAGCAUUAACAAAAUGUCUCAACAAGAAAAUUUUCUACAUAUCUGUGAAAAUUCUAAGUCUGUCAAGAUUCAUUAAGAACAAAAAUAAACCCAUAAAAAUUACACAAGUCCAUAGAUAUCUCUAUCCUACAAAAUUCCUAUGGUAUCUCAAACAUUGGCUGAAACAAUUAUUACUUCUCUGUCUCAAAUUGAAUCCCAACUCAAGUGAAUGGUGAUUAGUCAAUUCACAAGCAUUAAGUCCAGAAUGAAAUACUCAACAAUUGGAACAAAUACCAAUUAAUUCAAGUAAAGGAUGAUUUACGUAAUCGUAGUUAGGCUACAUCUCAAACUCUAGAAGAUAGAAAUUAAUUCAUGCUAAAAUUGAAGAAAAGUUUAAAUAAAGAGUUAACAUCAAGAAAUUGAAAGAGAUGGGAAGAAGGAAAAACUCAGUGAAUCUGGUCUCCCGUUUUCUUGGGGUGGCUUCCACCUUUUGAUAGCUAAAAGGGAAGAAAAAGAAUCGAUCCACCUUGGUCCCAGCCGUCUUGGUCAUCCUCUGCUUUUUUUUUUUUUUUUUUUCUCUCUUUCAAGCCAUCUUCACCGGAAAAGAAAGAAUCAAUCCCGAAUUCGCCUCUUUAAUUCGGCAGAUUUUUAGCCUUGGAUUUUGGGCCCUUUUUCACUUAGAAAACGUGAGAAUUUCAAAAUCUCUAUUUCAGGAGAAAUUGUAGCACGUUAAAUUACCUUUCCAAGGCCUCUUGAAUCAGCUCAAUACGACAUCGGAUGAGAGAGAUAUGGUGAUAUUACGAAGGGCAGUACAAAUGUGUUUCCAAUUCGGGAUUUCUUCAUAGCAAGAGACGUCUUCCACAGAUUUUGCUCCCUUCAUUAAUCUUUC
This 2184-nucleotide long non-coding RNA is filed under the name Olea europaea subsp. europaea. The record is from RNAcentral. Lineage: Eukaryota; Viridiplantae; Streptophyta; Magnoliopsida; Lamiales; Oleaceae.